GAGGGUUGAUAGGUUAAGAGCUAAUUGAGUGGACGUUACCCACAGAAGAAGCACCGGCUAACUCCGUGUCAGCAGCCGCGGUAAUACGGAGGGUGCGAGCGUUAAUCGGAAUUACUGGGCGUAAAGGGUGCGUAGGUGGUUAGAUAAGUUAUCUGUGAAAGCCCUGGGCUCACCUGGGAAGGCCAGAUAAGACUGUUUGACUCGAGUAUGGGAGAGGGUAGUGGAAUUUCCGGUGUAGCGGUGAAAUGCGUAGAGAUCGGAAGGAACACCAGUGGCGAAGGCGGCUACCUGGCCUAAUACUGACACUGAGGCACGAAAGCGUGGGGAGCAAACAGGAUUAGAUACCCUGGUAGUCCACGCUGUAAACGAUGUCAACUAGCUGUUGGUCU
This 389-nucleotide ribosomal RNA is filed under the name uncultured bacterium. RNAcentral describes it as "bacterial SSU rRNA". It matches the Rfam family "Bacterial small subunit ribosomal RNA", at positions 440 to 829 of the family's 1533-position model. The record is from RNAcentral.